Molecule: long non-coding RNA, 571 nt
Filed under: Homo sapiens (human)
Lineage: Eukaryota; Metazoa; Chordata; Mammalia; Primates; Hominidae
Description: cancer susceptibility 19
Source: RNAcentral
AAAGAGACAGAACAAUGUUAUAGGACUGUAUUGUCUGCUAGACCAUUUAUUCAAAGUGGGAGGAUGAUGUUCUAAAAGCCAAUGAUAAAGCUCAUGGCAAUGCAGGGUAUAUCUGAUGGCAUGGAAUGCUUUAGGAUGGCCAAGAUUGCCCAUCAAAUGCCAAGUCACCGAAGGAGCCUGACAUCAUGGUGAGCAUCGAGAAAGGAAUAACCUAAGCUGAAGACACGCCUUUUCAGGAGGCCAAGUUCCACGUUCUGUGCAUGCUUUUGGCGAAAGUCAGGUAAAGCCUCCAGAAAUGCAUGGUCUAUUCUCUCGGACCAUAUGGCUGUGGGCAAACUCUGGCUUCUUGGAGCCUCCAUUAGCCACCUAGGGAAAGGUAAUUGGCUUUAUGUUUGGCUCCAUCACUGCUGGCGACAAGCUCCACUGCAUUCUCAAGCAGUAGAUGAAAUACAACUGUGCUCCUGAAUGCAGCAAAGGAAAGAGAACCCAACUGGACCAGUGUGAAAUUGGGACCUUUGGAGGCAAGAAUGCACAUAUUUAUAAAUGAAUAAACAUAAUUUUUCUCUCUUCU